RNAcentral lists this long non-coding RNA (225 nucleotides) under Elaeis guineensis (African oil palm). RNAcentral's name for it is "long non-coding RNA (EGUI_LNC049909)". The record is from RNAcentral. Lineage: Eukaryota; Viridiplantae; Streptophyta; Magnoliopsida; Arecales; Arecaceae.
GAGAAAUAUGGUAUCUUUUGAGAUCGUAAAAGCCAUGCUAGAAUAUACUAUUUUAACUAUAUGAUUUUUGCAUGAAAGGAGGCUCCUUUCAUGCAGCUUACAGUAAACACUCUAUCAGAAAGAUUCAUUAAUAUCACUAGUAAUAGUGACAGCGAUGAGCAGAUGAAUUUUACGUCAUAAAUAAACAUAUAGCUUAUUUUAUUCAAAUGGAUCUAUUCAUUCUAA